This is a long non-coding RNA of Gallus gallus (chicken), 7854 nucleotides long. The record is from Ensembl. NCBI's taxonomy places the organism in Eukaryota, Metazoa, Chordata, Aves, Galliformes, Phasianidae.
AUUGUAUGUGACUAAAUAUUAUUUAUCCGAUCUGUGUAUCAAUUUACCAACUCAUACUAUGUUUAUAGCAUCUCAAACAGCUGUUCAAAUUUGAGUUGGUAUGUGUGAAGCACCUGAAUAUCUCAAAAAGCACUGCAAAUAGGUACUAUUCGUCCAAGUAGCAUCUCUUGCAGAUAAGCUGUUUCUAAAAGGCCAUUCUGAAAUAGUUACAUUCUACGAAGUUCUAUCGAAUUUAUAUUUAUGUAAAGCAAGCACAAUUUGUGUGAUAGUUCUUGACUGCUCUUCAGAAAGCUAGAUAUUUAAUUUCAAGCAUAGGUUGCUCUGAAAGUAAUGCCUCCUAUUUAUUUCCAUGGAAACUACAACAGAUGCAAAGAGUACAAUAACACGAGUUGAUAAAGCAAAUUCUCAGUUACAAAACGCCAUCUUUCUACACAGUCACCACCAUUAGCUGUGUAUUUUUGCCAGCAAUGAGCAAGAAGGUUCAGCCUCUACUGCCAUACCACCACCAUCUGCCUCUGACAUUGUGGGCCAACAUCAUAAAAUAGGAUGCAUUACUUUUGGAGCAUCCUUUGCACUUCUGUUUAUUAAAUAUGAAUUAUAUAAACACUGAGUGAUCAAUACAUCAUAGCUUUACUGAGACGUUGAUAUGUGAUCUAAGAGUGGAGAAUAAAACCAUUUUCCUAAUAAUGCCAGCAAAUACAGUAGGAAGGACAGCCCCAUUUGUAAGGACUACUUUUGUUAAUAUAAACUUUACCUCCGUUUAAAGAGUUUGCAUGUUGUCAGUUUAGCUGGAACAGCAAAAUCAUCUUACACCUGGUGCUACAGCCACUUCUGAAAUGGUGAAUAAGAAUAUCCCAUUAAGAUCAGUCUGUUAUCCUACACAUAGCAAGGAGCCCAAAGGGUCUUGGAGCACACUGUACAAACACAGAUAACCCCAUGCAAUUUUACACUGCAGAAAAUCUCCUCAAAAGUACAGAAGUACACAGAAGAUUGAGCAGGCUGUUGUGUACAGUUUGCUACGUCACCAUUCAGUGUUUCUACUGCUGCAAAAAAUGCAAAGUGAUCUCUAAUGACCAGGUUUCUUCUCUAACAGAUUGCUUCUUUAUAUCCUUUAGGAGACGGAAUGGUAGGGGGAUGUAACGGAAUGAACUGCAAACGUAGGUGGUUUGUUGAGCUUUUUUGUUAGUGUUUGUGUAGGGUUCUGAUCCCGGUCUAACUUAAAGAAAAAAAAGAGCAAGAACAUGACAAAGCAGAGCCCCAAAAGGCAUGAAUGUGGCUCUCUGUGGAAAAGCGUGAAAACAAUUGUACCCAUUACAUGCUGGGUUUGGAACUCCGUGCAGCCUAAGCCUAUUGAAAUAUAUAUUUGUAAGCGGGAGUGGUGGGGAGGGAGGAUGCAUCGGAAUGAGGCCUGGAGCUGAAAUGCUGUCGUAAAGGCAGUAGGAGGAGAGAAGGCUAUAAACUGGCUGCCAUCCUCACAUUGAAAAAGGUCCGGAAACAUCUUAAUGCCAAAUGUCACACCUUUCGUUCCUGUUUUUCCUUAGUUUUCCAUUUAAGCAAUUCAAACUUUCCCUAUUUGUGUUACCAGUCUAUGGAAGCUGGGUUAUCUAAAGGCUUUUUGAUUUUGCUCUAUCCUAUCCUGACAAACUCCUGCUCAUUCAACCUUUAUAUGUUAAACUUUUAAUAACCAAUACGACUGCAUCAGUACUAACAAAAAAAAAAAAAAAAAGAAGAAGAAGAAAAAAAAAAGAAUCCCACACAACAGAUUUCUCAGCAUCACCACGGCCUGGGAGAACUUGCUGCAGUGACAGGAGGCAAUUUAUAAGGAAUUAACUCUGACAGUCACUUUAUACAGCUGAUUUUCAAAGAUCUGGGCACUAAAGAAGUGUUAAUGAGGGUACUGAGGCUUCAUAAUUAAUUAUAUUAGCAUCUCUUUGUUGCUCUCUAGAACAGUAGUGCCUGGUUGACAUUUCAAUGGGAAUCUGGUAGUAUUCUUUGUUAUUAUUAUCCAGGAGUACAGUUAUACCUUAGCUCCCAGAGGGCAACGUUGCAUGUAAAUGCCUCUGUGAAUUGCAAGAGUCUUUGGAUCUCAGUAAAAGCCCUUGAAGGAGACCCUGCUGGAUACUGAAUGGAUGUCAGUAAAAUUUCUCUAGUCUGGAGUCUCUCUUCAGAUAUGGACUCUCCUCCCCUUUCAUUUCUCCCUUCCCCCUUCCUUUCCACUGUGCCAGUCCUUCUCACAAGGCUUAAGAACAGCACUUUCUGAAUCUUUAGUUCCAAACCUUUAAAGGAAGGAAUACUGACCUGAACGAAACAGUGAACAGAGAAUAGAACAGUCCUCAGAAAAUAGGGAAUAUUUUUCACACGCUUGAGUUUUCAUUGCAAUAAAACCAGCACUGCCAGAAGGAAUCCCAGAAGUGGUGAGUCAGAUAAUAGACGUACGGCUGUGGUGGGAGGGAAACGGUCUCUACUUUGUUUUACACCCUCCUCAGCUUUCUUUGUAAAGGCAGAUGAAAUUAUUUUCCAGUCGUGCCACUGCAAAAGCAAACACAGAGUUUAAAGGUUAUUUCCUCUGUGUGUUUUUGAGAGUCAUUACUUUUGAAUCCAAAAGGGGAAGGAUGACUUUUUGGCAAUGAUGUCGAAUUCUACUCUGAAAGCUUCUUCUGCAUCACCCGAAGUUCUCUUAUUUUGUACGUCGAUAUCCCACUUGCUUGUGUUAAUUUAAACAAAACUAACAACAGUGUGGUUUUUUCACACCAGCUGAACCGCAGCCUUGCCACAGUAAGGGCACACUGACAAACACAUCUCCUGUGUCAGUGAGAUCGAUGCAACCUGUUCUCACCCUUUCCCCAUUCAUACCUGCCGUUACGCGACCUUGUCUCUUGUGGCAUUCUUUGUGCAUCUGCAGCAGGGAACAGAUCAGAGUAUUAGUCUCAGUUAAAAAUAAGUGUUUUUCUGAGGACUAUUUUUUAAUUGAAAUCAGGUUCCCGAUUCAGUUUAACACGAGGCUGCACAAAAAAACCAGCACUGGCACAAUCCAAGGCCAGCACGAUGGGGAAGAGAGGAGGAAUGUGGGGAGGGGGGGGGAAUGUAUAAGCAGGACCUUCUAGCAGAAAAAUGAGUCAAACAACGUCCUCAAAGACUUCAGAUCCUUCCAAGCCAGAGCCACCUCUUUGCUUUGUGUUCAGACAGCACCUUGCGCAAAGGGAUGGCAGUUACAGGACUCUCAGGACUCUCAGAGCCAUUGUAAUACCCACAAAUAAUAAGCGUUCCUACAGACUGACACAAUUAACCAAAUUCCACUUGCAGAUCUUCAUUGUUGGCAACUCGAGCAGCAUUUUAUGUAGCUGAAGCUGAAGCCUAGCUCUAUUCCUACAUUCUGUCUCUGGCUCUAAUGAGGGAUAACUGGAUAACUCUGGCAUGUAGUUAAUCAAUACAAGAAUUACUUUUCUCACAGAGUUUUUAUAUUUAGCUAGAUUCUUUUACGAGCUUUGACAUUCUCAGAUGAAAAGAAUAAUGUGUACAAUGCAUUGUUAUAGCAAAAACUGUGUAUGACAUCUCUACGCAUUCUCCUCCUUUUUGUUUCACCUCUUCUGUCACUGCACUCCCACAGAAAGCUCAAGACGUGCUGCGGAUGUCUGAGUAACGCCAACUGGAGGCAGCAGGAUUGUAAAUAUCAUACUCACUCUUCACUGAGCAAUAUUCAGUGUAUUUGUUUUAAUCUGAUAUUUCCUGCAUAGAAACAGAGGUUACUUCCCCUGAGAGUUCACGUAUCGAUAGCGCUCUCCGUAACAAGGGAAGUCCUUCGUGAUUCCCACAAAAGCUGCUGCCCCUGGGUAGCAAGACAAUGGAUGGAAUACACUGCGUAAAACUGUGGUCUUUAUGGCUCUUCCUGAGGGCCCAAAUCUGGAAGAACUCAACUUGGUUUAGGACUCAGCAAGAAUUUUCCUUCAUAGGAGUAAGGGGGUGAUAAAUACGAGUUUAGAGAAUUGGCCAUAAAGUACUGGAAAGCAAAUGUUUAUGGAUUCUGUUUGUGGAAAAGGGGUGUGCUUCUUAACUUCCCCGCGAGUGGAAAAGUGAGAGAUGAUUAUCUGAAGCUCUCUGAAGGAAAACCUACAGAAGAAGAAAGUAUAGUUUUGUGACUCCUCAACAUUGCUGCAUCCCUACUGCUUAGAUAUCCUAAACCUUUGAUUCAGCUUUCACACACAUUUAAUGGUUGGCAACCCUGCCCACAGCAGGGGGUUGGAACUAGACGAUCUUUGAGGUUCCCUUCCAACCCAAGCCAUUCUAUGAUUUGAGUACUUUUGAUCCAGAUCUACAGUGUCUAUUUAUAAGGACUCUAUCCAGUACUGGACCUUCUGCCCUAGCUACAAGGAAAUUAGUCUUUCUCUGGACAGAGCAGAAAGCAAAGGCAAAUAGCUACUUCCUCUGUUUAUUAUUUUGGGUCCUUCUACACUAAAACAUAGCUGGCACAGCUAUUCCAGAGUACCUCCCAGUAUUAAUAUUGCAGUAUUUCAGUCUGAAAGUGUCUGUUAGUGAUUGAUUGUUCUACCUAGGAAUACCUUCUGUGAGUGGUCAGUUUGUCCAACAACUUCUGUUCAGAGCUUUCAUUCCACAAGAUUGUAUGUAGUAGAAGAGCCUCAAAUGCAAACAUUAAACCAUCUACAACAGGUAUUGAUUAACGAUCAGAUUGUUUCAAGUAAAUCUAAUGUUUUUCAGACAUUUUCUGUGAAACCAUUCUAGCCGUACUGAGCUUGGCUGAAGGCUCCCACAGCCUCAGCACAGAAUGGAUUGGCCCUAAUUCUGUCCUGCAGAACUAGUGAUUGAGUAUCCCUAACGAAAGGGCUGGAAGAUCUGCAGAUCCCAUCUUGAGCUGUGAACUCCUCAGGCUGGAGGAGAUGGAUAUCCACAUCUGGAAGUGGCAGUAGCACAUCUGGACAGGGUCAUGGAGACUCGGCAAUUCCUGGGGGCUGUCAAACUGAUUACACGCAGCAAACCAGCCGGUGUGCCUCUGCCUGCUGCUUAGAUAAUAUAUCUAUCUAAAGAAAGAAACAUUGGGAGAUCUGAACUUCUGCAUCAAAGAGGAGACUGUCUUUAUGAAUAGGCCCUGUUUAUUCCAUUCUUGAGAACAACAAGCAACUACCACUAUACUCUAUGUAAACUGUAAGGCCAUUAAUCACUAUCAGGAGCUGCCAACACCCCCCAGACGUUUACAUAUACACAGAGGAAAACGAACACGAGUUUUCUUCACUUAUCUGAGCGUCACUGCCACCCCGAAGGAUGUGAAGAUCUAACUCCUUUAUUUGACAGCACGGGAGGACUCGGGCACUCAGCUGGAAAGGUACCACAGACAGUCCAGUUUUGUACCUUCAACCAUACAACUUGAAGUUCAGAGAAGAGCAGGAAUACAAACUGUAAUACCAAUGGAAAAAAGCUACUUGUGAUGCAGGCAGCAGAGCUACUUGGAUGGUGUCGUUCAGGAAAAAGAGUGAGCUGUCUAUUAUAUCUGAUAUAAUAUAUACAUAUACAGGAGAAGGGGAGAGGAGGAGGACACCAUAUUCUCCAAACGCAUUAACAUAUCUCUUAUUUCACAGGAUUGUAACUGUACAUUUUAACCCCUCAAUAGUUACUCAAGGACUGAAACUGCCUUAGGUGUUAAUUACAGAUAAUGAAAAACAUUAGGUAGAAGUGAAGGAAAGUGACUGACUAAGUAUUGAUUACAAAAACAAGUUUUUCUAAGUGGGAUGUUUGUUUUUAGUGUUAUCAUGAAAUCAAGCAUAGUCUUAUGUCUGAGCAUCACAUGUAAUUUCUGGAAAACCUUGUGUAACAGCAGAUAACUCAUGUAACAAGGCUCUAUAUCACUAGAUGCCAUUUUCCUUCCUUUUUAAUGAAACUACAUGGGCUUUAGGAUCCUUACAAAGAGGAACAGUUUCAGACUGAGUUGAGAAUUGUGCUGCUUGCUUUUUCACAAAUACUUGAGUCAUGUUCUUCCUGAGCAUAAAUGUUGACAGUGCAGCAAGAACAAACAGUAAAUCAAUUCAGUGGCAACAGCCACUAGGUGCUCUGCUUUCAUCCUUCCUUCUCAACAACUACUCUUACUCAGUGGCUUCGUUUUAUUUCAUUACAUCUCUAUAAAGCAAUGAAGGGAGUGCAGAGAAAGCAUCAUUCCAUGAGUUGCUGUCAAACUGAGCCAAGCCCCAGCAGUAUGUAAGCACCUGUUGUUGGGAGACCUUUUAUGAAUUAUACCCAAAAGUCAGACUGCAGCUGAACUGAAAGUGAGGUUCUCCUUUGAAAAGGCUGUAAAAGCAACUGGUCAGUUUGGGUGAAAGGGUAUACAUCAGUGGAACAGACAAAUCAUACUUCAGGAAUACAUACUGCUUUAUGUGUGGAAGAAGUAGUAGGGAGUAAGCAUAUGUCCCUUUGAUCAUCACAGAACUGGCUUUCAGUUAUACAGCCUACAUUUUCAAAUUGUGGACCUUGAAAGACCAAUCUAUAGAACAGAAUAGUAUAUUACCAGUGAUAAAAAGGGAAAAAAAGCAAACAUACACAGUUGCAUAGUGAAGAGAUUAAAGGAAAACAGAAGAAAGAAAAUCAUGCUGCGUACUUGAGCUUACCUUACCUUGUCUGAGUGUGAAAACAUCCAUAUUAAUCAAUCUCGGGAGAUGCAGACAGAGCACAAGAGAAGCUUUGUUGCUGUGUUGGGUAUCAGGAAGGCCUUGAGACCACCCUCGAGGGGAGAAGUUGAUCAUCUUGCAUUAAGUUGUGAUGCUUUGUUGCUUUGUCUAGCACAGGUGGCAGCUCCUCUCCUGUUUGCAUGGGGAAGCACAGUGCAAACUGUGGUUGUGCCACAGCAGUUGUGGGUGGCAGUGGGAGCAGACGUAGCUGGCAGGAAGUGACAGCAAGGAACACAAAGGAAAAAAACCUUGGGAUUUGGAAGCAAAAGGUGUGAACGGGAAGUGGGAUACUAUAGUGGUGCCUCUGAGGAGGCAGGAGCUGAUCCAGGCCUUGUUGGCUAAGUGCAUUGGAAGGGCAACUUGAGGAGGCGGCCAAGGAAAGGAAAGGGAGGCAGAGAGAAUGUGAGAAUGUUGUGUGACUGGAAAGCAAACCACAAAGGGCAAGUUUCUACUUCAUCAAAGCUGUGUCUGUUUCUUAGCUUGAUCUGCAUCAUGAUAUUCACUUGCGAGUGAUAUGCAGCAUUUUUGGUAGAAAAGAGUGGCUCAGCUGUUACUUUAAGAGCAAAACAGGGCUCACUGUAGCUAUGAGGCUGCACUGAGCUCUUCCACAACAGGUGGAAAGGGACAAAAAGGGUUAUUUAAAGGCCGCUUGCCCUGGUUGCAGUGGCAGGUGUGCUGGCAGACGCUGGGGCUCAGUGACCUUCUAGGGCUGUGCUCCCACUCCAACGGAGUGGGCUGGAUGUGACUGACAGGGCCUCUGUGCCCUCGGAACGUAACGUCUGAACUGCUGUGAGUCAUAUUCCAGCUAGAGGUGGCAGUGCAGAGGCAGCGGCCGCCAUGUCCGAGGGCCACCCCUCAGGCAGUACAGGAGAUGCCGAUGCCGGGCCAGCAGGGCCACCUCAGGCAGUGAGGCUGCUCGGGGCGGCUGCGUCUUAGGAUCGUCGGUCCCAAACACUCACGCAGACAUAUUUCCCCUCCGGGACUUCUGCCGGCCCCUCGUGACGACGUGAUCACCCCGCCACAGACGGCGUCUCCACACGGGCCAGCGGCGGCGCUAAGGAGACGCCCGCGCUUCGAGCGCGGCUCUCACGGUGAAGGUGCGCGGCCACGUGCGCUGGGUGACGGCAACGGCGGCGCGCACGCAUGCGCAUAUCGCCCUCAGCCGCUCCUCACAUGCACACCUGCG